Molecule: long non-coding RNA, 729 nt
Organism: Helianthus annuus (common sunflower)
Lineage: Eukaryota; Viridiplantae; Streptophyta; Magnoliopsida; Asterales; Asteraceae
Exons: 2
Source: RefSeq, a predicted model, not a curated record
CUUGGAGUCUUGGAGAGAUUGGUUUGUCAGACUCAGGACCUUCACACCAUCACCAUCAUCAUCAACACUUUCCAUACUCUGUUUUUCCAGCCUUUAAUCCUCCCAACACAGGCUUCAUUAAUCAAGAAGGACCAUCUUUUGAUUUUGGGGAGCUAGAAGAAGCAAUUGUUCUUCAAGGAUACAACUCACGGUGAUGAGACUAAAUUACGUAUGAUUUUGAUUCCUACUCUUUCUGGCGUUUGAUAAAGCAUAACAAACUUUACCCACAAGAACACACACUAGUGUGAGAGAAAAACAGAGAACCAAAACUCCAAAAGUGUGAUUUACUGAUUUAUGAAUUUUGUUGUCUUUUUGUGCAUCUUUUUUUUUUGGAUUUUUUGAUGAUAAUCCUAAAAGAUAUUCUUCAUUAUGAUCUUUAUACACAACAGUGCGGCCAAGGCCAGCUACUACACUGGACAUGUUCCCUUCUUGGCCUAUGAGAAUUCAUCAAACCUCAAGUCGUGAUUUACUGAAUGGAAUUCCAAUGGCCAAUUUGGGGGUUUUUCUUGGAGAAGAUGAUGGAAAUUUAGGGGUUUUGUGGUGUAAAUGAAUAUUAAUUUGUUUUUAAUAUGUGUCACUAAAAGGGGAGGGGAAAUUACCAUAUUAGACAUCAUGUGCCUAUCAUGUGAGUUAUAAUUAACCAGAGUUUGGAGUUUGGUUAGACUCAGGGGCCAAAAUAGUUAGUUAUAG